UACAGAGGGUGCGAGCGUUGUCCGGAAUCACUGGGCGUAAAGGGCGCGUAGGCGGCCUGAUAAGUCGGGGGUGAAAUCCUGUGGCUUAACCACAGGGCUGCCUCCGAGACUGUCGGGCUCGAGCACAGUAGAGGCAGGUGGAAUUCCCGGUGUAGCGGUGGAAUGCGUAGAGAUCGGGAAGAACAUCGGUGGCGAAGGCGGCCUGCUGGGCUGUUGCUGACGCUGAGGCGCGAAAGCUAGGGGAGCAAACGGG
RNAcentral lists this ribosomal RNA (253 nucleotides) under uncultured bacterium. RNAcentral describes it as "partial 16S ribosomal RNA". It matches the Rfam family "Bacterial small subunit ribosomal RNA", at positions 524 to 776 of the family's 1533-position model. The record is from RNAcentral.